CAAUUUAAACAACGAAGAGUUUGAUCCUGGCUCAGGAUGAACGCUAGCGACAGGCUUAACACAUGCAAGUCGAGGGGCAGCACAGGUAGCAAUACCGGGUGGCGACCGGCGCACGGGUGAGUAACGCGUAUGCAACUUGCCUAUCAGAGGGGGAUAACCCGGCGAAAGUCGGACUAAUACCGCAUGAAGCAGGGGCCCCGCAUGGGGAUAUUUGCUAAAGAUUCAUCGCUGAUAGAUAGGCAUGCGUUCCAUUAGGCAGUUGGCGGGGUAACGGCCCACCAAACCGACGAUGGAUAGGGGUUCUGAGAGGAAGGUCCCCCACAUUGGUACUGAGACACGGACCAAACUCCUACGGGAGGCAGCAGUGAGGAAUAUUGGUCAAUGGGCGUAAGCCUGAACCAGCCAAGUCGCGUGAGGGAUGAAGGUUCUAUGGAUCGUAAACCUCUUUUAUAAGGGAAUAAAGUGCGGGACGUGUCCCGUUUUGUAUGUACCUUAUGAAUAAGGAUCGGCUAACUCCGUGCCAGCAGCCGCGGUAAUACGGAGGAUCCGAGCGUUAUCCGGAUUUAUUGGGUUUAAAGGGUGCGUAGGCGGCCUUUUAAGUCAGCGGUGAAAGUCUGUGGCUCAACCAUAGAAUUGCCGUUGAAACUGGGAGGCUUGAGUAUGUUUGAGGCAGGCGGAAUGCGUGGUGUAGCGGUGAAAUGCUUAGAUAUCACGCAGAACCCCGAUUGCGAAGGCAGCCUGCCAAGCCAUUACUGACGCUGAUGCACGAAAGCGUGGGGAUCAAACAGGAUUAGAUACCCUGGUAGUCCACGCAGUAAACGAUGAUCACUAGCUGUUUGCGAUACACUGUAAGCGGCACAGCGAAAGCGUUAAGUGAUCCACCUGGGGAGUACGCCGGCAACGGUGAAACUCAAAGGAAUUGACGGGGGCCCGCACAAGCGGAGGAACAUGUGGUUUAAUUCGAUGAUACGCGAGGAACCUUACCCGGGUUUGAACGCAUUUUGACAGCUCUGGAAACAGAGCCUCUAGCAAUAGCGAUUUGCGAGGUGCUGCAUGGUUGUCGUCAGCUCGUGCCGUGAGGUGUCGGCUUAAGUGCCAUAACGAGCGCAACCCUUGCCACUAGUUACUAACAGGUAAAGCUGAGGACUCUGGUGGGACUGCCAGCGUAAGCUGCGAGGAAGGCGGGGAUGACGUCAAAUCAGCACGGCCCUUACAUCCGGGGCGACACACGUGUUACAAUGGCGUGGACAAAGGGAGGCCACCUGGCGACAGGGAGCGAAUCCCCAAACCACGUCUCAGUUCGGAUCGGAGUCUGCAACCCGACUCCGUGAAGCUGGAUUCGCUAGUAAUCGCGCAUCAGCCAUGGCGCGGUGAAUACGUUCCCGGGCCUUGUACACACCGCCCGUCAAGCCAUGGGAGCCGGGGGUACCUGAAGUCCGUAACCGAAAGGAUCGGCCUAGGGUAAAACUGGUGACUGGGGCUAAGUCGUAACAAGGUAGCCGUACCGGAAGGUGCGGCUGGAACACCUCCUUUCU
RNAcentral lists this ribosomal RNA (1535 nucleotides) under Parabacteroides distasonis. Its description in RNAcentral is "bacterial SSU rRNA". It matches the Rfam family "Bacterial small subunit ribosomal RNA". Lineage: Bacteria; Pseudomonadati; Bacteroidota; Bacteroidia; Bacteroidales; Tannerellaceae. The record is from RNAcentral.